RNAcentral lists this ribosomal RNA (253 nucleotides) under uncultured bacterium. RNAcentral describes it as "partial 16S ribosomal RNA". It matches the Rfam family "Bacterial small subunit ribosomal RNA", at positions 524 to 776 of the family's 1533-position model. The record is from RNAcentral.
UACAGAGGGGGCAAGCGUUAUUCGGAAUUAUUGGGCGUAAAGGGCGCGUAGGCGGCCUGGCAAGUGGAUGGUGAAAUCCCUCGGCUUAACCGAGGAACUGCCAUCCAGACUGCUUGGCUUGAGACCGGGAGAGGUGAGUGGAAUUCCCAGUGUAGCGGUGAAAUGCGUAGAUAUCGAGAGGAACACCUGCGGCGAAGGCGGGUAGCUGGGCCGACACUGACGCUGAGGCGCGAAAGCCAGGGGAGCGAACGGG